This is a long non-coding RNA of Wyeomyia smithii (pitcher-plant mosquito), 558 nucleotides long. RefSeq lists it as uncharacterized. The record is from RefSeq and is a predicted model, not a curated record. Lineage: Eukaryota; Metazoa; Arthropoda; Insecta; Diptera; Culicidae. The transcript has 2 exons.
UUGUUUGACAGUUGCACUGUCGGCUGAAUGUUUGUUCGAGUGCUUCUUGGAAGACUGAGCGCGAUCGCCUACUAUGCCGCUGCAGUCCAGUGGAGCAAGCUUCCGGCACCGGUCGUGUCACUUUCCAAGCAACACAUCUUAACUGGUGUUUGAUUCUGUAAAGAGAAAGUAAAAAUUGGUAUCAUCAAUAAAUCAGUCUACCAGAUGUACCAGGUGGGCAUAAAUGAACGAUAGACAGGCGACAAUACGACAGCGCAGCGGGGAGAAAGUAGGACGACUGCUCCUUUCCCUUCCGACGCUCGGACCGGAACGCUUCAGCCGGAAAGCCGCACUGCUCACUGAUUGCAUAUCGGGUUCACCGUCAAGAGGUAUGUCAACGUUUACAUUGCACCCUUUCGGGUGUCUGCCCGCUUGUCUGGUGUGCAUCGAACCCCAACCGCUGUCGGACGAAUGAAUUCGUCUUGUAGGGUGACCUGAUGUCACAAGGUUUGUUUGCUAAUUGGGUUUGGUUUACGUCAAAAUAAUAAAUAUGUUAAUAUUUACCGCUUUAUAGAAUAA